Molecule: ribosomal RNA, 862 nt
Filed under: uncultured Neocallimastigales
Lineage: Eukaryota; Fungi; Neocallimastigomycota; Neocallimastigomycetes; Neocallimastigales
Description: partial large subunit ribosomal RNA
Rfam family: Eukaryotic large subunit ribosomal RNA
Source: RNAcentral
GUACACGCUGUGACUAGCAUAUCAAUAAGCGGAGGAAAAGAGGGCUGUUACCUACGCUUAGGAUGUUGAUGCGCGUGUGUGCGUGAGUCUAUACAUGACUCUGUGCAUAUCAAUAAGCGGAGGAAAAGAAACUAACAAGGAUUCCCCUAGUAACGGCGAGUGAAGCGGGAAGAGCUCAAAUUUGAAAUCUUAAAGGGUUUCCCUUUACGAAUUGUAGUUUAAAGAAGUGUUUUCUGUUGAGGUUUUGGUAAAAGUUCUUUGGAAUAGGACAUCAUAGAGGGUGAGAAUCCCGUAUUUGACCUUUACUUUCAACUUUGUGAUACACUUUCAAAGAGUCGGAUUGUUUGGGAAUGCAGUCCAAAAUGGGUGGUAAAUUUCAUCUAAAGCUAAAUAUUGGCGAGAGACCGAUAGCGAACAAGUACCGUGAGGGAAAGAUGAAAAGAACUUUGAAAAGAGAGUUAAACAGUACGUGAAAUUGUCAAAAGGGAAGCGUUUGACACCAGUGUUGUUUUUCUGAAAAUCAAUUAAAGAACUGUUUAUGCUAAGUUGUUUAGACUUUAUCAGCUAACUGUUUAGUUUUGAGCUUUUCUUUAAUGCACUUUUCAGUUAACAAGUCAACAUCAAUUUCUUUUGCUGUAAAAAAGCUUGAGGAAGGUGGCUUGAGAUUCGUCUUAAGUGUUUAUAGCCUCUUGCCUAUGCAGUCGGAGAGAUUGAGGUCUGCAGCGUAGAUCCUUCGGGGCUAAAUGCAUUUGUGCUAAGUUAUAGCAUUUUAUAGACAACUUGUUGACUAUGAUUUGUCUUGUAGCUUACUCGCUUAUGUUAUUUUACCUACGCUUAGGAUGUUGAGUCGUAGAGCACGCAG